AAGUUAAUGAACUUGUAAAAGUAUAUAUUUUGAAAAUAUAAAAAAGAAAUAAAACUUUCUAUUAACUU
This 68-nucleotide transfer RNA is filed under the name Necydalis ulmi. RNAcentral's name for it is "tRNA-Ser". The record is from RNAcentral. Lineage: Eukaryota; Metazoa; Arthropoda; Insecta; Coleoptera; Cerambycidae.